AAGUGCUUGGUCGAGAUUGUAAGAUACAUUUAACAAUGACCUCAAAUCAGGCAAGAAUACCCGCUGAACUUAAGCAUAUCAAUAAGCGGAGGAAAAGAAACUAACAAGGAUUCCCCUAGUAACGGCGAGUGAAGAGGGAAGAGCUCAAAUUUUAAAUCUGCCUUGUUUCAAGGUCGAGUUGUAAUUUGAAGAAGCGUUUUCUUGGGCUCGCGGCCGGUAGAAGUUCUUUGGAACAGGACAUCAUAGAGGGUGACAAUCCCGUCUGCGACCGGUCGUGUGUUCAUCUACGAUACGCUUUCAAAGAGUCGAGUUGUUUGGGAUUGCAGCUCCAAAUGGGUGGUAAACAUCACCUAAGGCUAAAUAUUGGCGAGAGACCGAUAGCGAACAAGUACCGUGAGGGAAAGAUGAAAAGAACUUUGAAAAGAGAGUUAAACAGUACGUGAAAUUGUUGAAAGGGAAACGAUUGAAGUCAGUCGUGCUGGCGCGAAAUCAACCCUCUCGUCGAGAGGACACAUGGCGUGGCGAGCCUCAAAACCGUCACGAAGCGUGAACUCUUGGCGAAAAGGAGCACUUUCGUGUCCGCUGGUUAACACCAAUUUCGAACGUCAUAAAAAGGCUGGAGGGAUGUGGCUCCUUCGGGAGUGUUAUAACCUUUAGUGGAAUGUGGUGGUCGGGAUUGAGGAUUGCAACGAAUACCUUUAGGGCUGUUCCACCUGGCCUCUCUUUGGUAUCCUGGUGACGACAGCUUGCUGACGUUGUUAGGAUUCGCCAUUGAACAGGCUAGAGUGUGAGCAAAUUCGUUAAGGAUGUUAACGUAAUGGCUUUAAACGACC
This 833-nucleotide ribosomal RNA is filed under the name Entrophospora lutea. RNAcentral describes it as "eukaryotic LSU rRNA". It matches the Rfam family "Eukaryotic large subunit ribosomal RNA", at positions 1 to 649 of the family's 3401-position model. The record is from RNAcentral. Lineage: Eukaryota; Fungi; Glomeromycota; Glomeromycetes; Entrophosporales; Entrophosporaceae.